UAGAAUUUAAAUUUUUGUUUAAAUCCACUAAGUCCUCUCAUUACUCACAAUUCUACACAUAAACGUGCUGUGGACAUAAGGUCAUACAUUGAAGCUUUAGGCACUCAUUUCCUUUAAAAGUUUCGUGUCAUUGGUAUUUAUUAUAAGAUAGCAUAAUGAAAUACUAAGAGCUACAUUUCUAACAUUAUUUCCUGAAUACUUGAUGAAAAAUUAUCAAAGUCAAAUUCUCUGCAAUUAAGUUAAUGUAGAAGGCAUUUUUUUUAAUUCCCGACAAUGCACACAUUUUCUAAUGCAAGAACGAAUACACAUUUGAAUUAAAAUUCUCUUUAAAAACAAAAAUAAAUAUAAAUAGCAAUUCUACUUCCCCCUAACAAGGACGGCAAAUCCCAGCUGCUGCAUCCAAACAAAAAUCUGAGGCUCUGAAAGCAGCCUCGGUUGGAUGCGAAAUUACAGUAUAAGAUCCAGAAAUAAACUGAGCUCUGCACGCGCCUGCCUCUCGCCUAGGGAGCACGCACCUCCCAGCCCCGCUCUCAGCAGCUCUCACUAUUUAAAGCCGGAUCUGGUGUUUAAAUGGAGAGGCGGUGACGUAGGCCUGAAAAGCACCUUCCCAUCCUGGCAGAGUCUAUAUUAGAGAGCGGCAAUGGCUCUAUAUAAACAGGGCAGCCAAAGGGAGGAGGACCACAAGGCUCAGGGACUGAAAAGCAGGGUAAGCGGCCGCAGCCAUGAUGGAUCGACCCGAGUCGCCAACGGUCACAUUGAGCAGUGGAGUGGAAAAAACAUUAGGAAUCAGAAUACAUUUAUGAAAUGAGUUCACCAAAUACGCAAACCAAGCCCACAUUUAUCUUUUGGACGUUUGUGUUUCAGCUCCAGACUCAUGAAAGUGCAACGACCCCACAGACCACAUCCCUGGAAACCAGACGGAACAAUGCCGUGACUGGCACCAGGAACUGAAGCCAUGAUCAACUGCUUCCUGCCUUAGCACCAACCAAUCAGGAGAGCCCACGACCCCAGCUCCCAUAAUAACCAUGAUAAAGUCUUUUUCCUUGUAUAAUAUAACCUAGUCACUAGAGGCCAUCGGGGAGCCAUGCUUUUGAGAGCACUAGCUCACCUGAAUUUCUGGACUUGAUGUUAACUCUUUAAAUAAACCUUUGCUUUCUUUGCUGCACACUCCUGCUCAUAUCUUAUUUGGCUUGAGUGCAUGCAGGCAAGCAGACCCUCUGAGUCAGCAGUAACACUUACCU
Molecule: long non-coding RNA, 1241 nt
Organism: Hipposideros armiger (great roundleaf bat)
Lineage: Eukaryota; Metazoa; Chordata; Mammalia; Chiroptera; Hipposideridae
Exons: 3
Source: RefSeq, a predicted model, not a curated record